This 212-nucleotide long non-coding RNA is filed under the name Dromaius novaehollandiae (emu). RNAcentral describes it as "lncRNA (ENSDNVG00000005119.1)". The record is from RNAcentral. Lineage: Eukaryota; Metazoa; Chordata; Aves; Casuariiformes; Dromaiidae.
UAUGUUGCUGCAAAAUUUCAGUCCCGAAUUAAAGACGGAAAAUACUAGGCAGAGCAAGAGAAUCCAAUUUUAGGAGCAUGCUUAUUGUGAUAUCCUCAGUGAUUUCUUUUACAAUACAUUCUGCUCAGGCCUGUGAACUUUGUUAAACUGUCCAGGUAAGAAAAAUAUGCAUAGUCACACUUAGUUCAUAAAAAUGUUUUUCAAACAUUAGG